This is a small nuclear RNA of Lepus europaeus (European hare), 107 nucleotides long. NCBI's taxonomy places the organism in Eukaryota, Metazoa, Chordata, Mammalia, Lagomorpha, Leporidae. The record is from RefSeq and is a predicted model, not a curated record.
GUGCUCACAUCCUCAGCACAUAUAGUAAAAUUAGAAUGAUACAGAGAAAAUUAGCAUGACCCCUGUGCAAGGAUGACAUGCAAAUUCAUGAAGCAUUCCUUAUUUUU